Molecule: non-coding RNA, 1392 nt
Organism: Paramuricea clavata
Lineage: Eukaryota; Metazoa; Cnidaria; Anthozoa; Malacalcyonacea; Plexauridae
Source: the annotation of a GenBank genome assembly
CACUCGUGACGAGUGUUCCUUAAUGAAAUUUUACUUCCGCUACAUUUGACCAGCACCUCACUGACGUCAGAAUUUAGCAAUAAUACAGGAUGCUAGUGAUACAAUACUGCCAUUAUUUCAUAAAAAUAUGAUAUCUCAUAUUAAGCAUCCGCCACUAUUAUAAUAUAUAUUCCCCUCUCGCAUAAUACUACCCUUGUUUCAUAUUAUUGCAUAAAAUGUUGACAGUUUCUAUUAAACUUCAGAUUAUCAUAUUAUCAAUGUUUACACAAUGUCUGUAAUCUAACUGAUCAAGUUUGAUUGCUUCUACAUUAUUAUGAGAACGAGAGCGUAUUGCCGUAGCUACAGUUUCUUUUUACUUUUCUAAAUUUACAUGUCCAUAUAGUUCAAGUAGCAGUACGACUACAUAUAUCGAGUCUCAGCAGUUUUGUCUAUAAGCUAGGUUUCACUCAGCACUAUAAUUUAGCAGAAGGUGAUCCACCUGCAUUUAACAAUAAAUCAAUAAUCCAUAUAUUAUAUAUGCAUAAUCUUGCAUUUUGGUAGCGAGAUGUGUAGUUUCAUCAGUGCUUGAUCCUAUAAUUCAAUCAACAGUUCUGAAAUUGACCACUACGCUUUACUUCCACUACAUAAUUUCUCGGGCCCAGCUACGUAUAGAAUUGCCUAACAAUGGUAUUGCGCUGUACUGCCAUGUCAUGAAUAAUUAUCAAGCACCUUGCUCCUUGAUGCAAAAGCAUUGGUCUUUUAUUGUAUUUCACUAUUUCUAUAGCUAUACACAUCUACAGGCAGCCUCUACAGUUACGAUGGCAAAAUAGUGACCUGCAAUCUGUUGGAAUUGUCUAUAGUGAAAAACGGCGCGUGUGCAAUGCUAUUUGAGCGUCCAGACACACCAUGCUGUAUACCACAUCUUCGUCUGCGAGGCAUCUGACCGUCGGUAUUAUUCGACUGAGUUUCCAGCUCGCUAGCCUCGCUGUACUCUAUCAAACCUCGCGACAAAUCCAUUAAGCUCGUUGAAGAGUUUAAAGUACGAUUCGACCUCACAUUGGAAGAUGAAUCAUUGCUAGCGUCAUUGUUAGUACGAAGUUUCCAACCCAUUAAACAAAGCCUUGAAUUGAAUUCUGUUUCAACCAAUAUGAAAUUUAAUUUAUAUUCUUGCUUUUCUGGUUAUGCAUGUAACCACUACAAACUCUAAAGUGUCUCAACUUUAAAGAGAUAACAAUGCCGCUGUUAAUUUAUCAAAGCUUCUUAUAUGUACCCCAAGCAAAUCCGGAGACAUUACGUAUUCGAAACUUAAAUAUGAAAUGAGGGACUUUUUUGAUUUAGGACUUGCCAAGAGUGGUCGCCAUGGUAAUAUGUGGUAUUGACGUCAGCAGCAUCGAAACUAUGCUCCAUCAGCGC